UACGGAGGGUGCGAGCGUUAAUCGGAAUUACUGGGCGUAAAGCGUGCGUAGGCGGCUUGCCAAGUCAGGCGUGAAAGCCCCGGGCUCAACCUGGGAACGGCGCUUGAAACGGGCAGGCUGGAGUUGGGUAGAGGGGAGUGGAAUUCCGGGUGUAGCGGUGAAAUGCGUAGAUAUCCGGAGGAACACCAGUGGCGAAGGCGGCUCCCUGGACCCAAACUGACGCUGAGGCACGAAAGCGUGGGUAGCAAACAGG
RNAcentral lists this ribosomal RNA (253 nucleotides) under uncultured bacterium. Its description in RNAcentral is "partial 16S ribosomal RNA". It matches the Rfam family "Bacterial small subunit ribosomal RNA", at positions 524 to 776 of the family's 1533-position model. The record is from RNAcentral.